This is a long non-coding RNA of Cygnus atratus (black swan), 1063 nucleotides long. RefSeq lists it as uncharacterized. The record is from RefSeq and is a predicted model, not a curated record. NCBI's taxonomy places the organism in Eukaryota, Metazoa, Chordata, Aves, Anseriformes, Anatidae. The transcript has 3 exons.
CAUCCUGCCGGCUCUGAUUGAGGAUGUUCAGCAGCAGCUCGUUGACUCGGCGGUACUGGAACUCCAGCUCCUCGGGAAUGCUGAAGUUACACAGUGUCAGGCAGCAGUUCCGCUGUACCUGGGUCGAAGGGAAGCAAAUGCUGCACCAGUGCCAAGGACAAGAAGUUGGCCAAGGAAUUAACCCAAGACAGAACGGAGCCUCAAAAAGCAGCUCUGCUGAUCUCACUCGCUCCUUGCUCGGCGAUGGAGGAACUGCAGUGCUGGAGCGCUCCGGAGGAACACCCACCCUAAGCCUCAUCUCCCUGGGCCAAAUCUUGCUCUAGGUUACGUCAGGAGAGAAGCCAAGGAUGAAAUGUGCCGCUGAGGGCAGAGAAUUGCCUCACUAGCGGUGAGGUGCCAACUGAGGGAACGCAGGUGGGAGGAAGCAGUCCUGUGCCCUGCAUGGUGUCUGCUUUGGAGACGAAUCUGCUUCACCUCCAGAACGAGUCCCUCUCACAUAUUUUGCCUGAAGCUUGCUUGAGAGAAUCUUUCCAGAAAGGCAAGAUGAACAGGAAGAUCUGAGCCAGCAGGGAAACGCGUUCUGCUGUCCCUACCAGUUCACCCGUGCCACCAGACGGGAGGUCCCUGCAGCCGGUGUUCUCGCCCUGCUUACUACUGAUGGCCAGAGAACUUGGAAACAAACUCCCAUUGACAACCUUUUGUCACGUGCAGCUGGACAUGGCCAGUGCUUGGGACUUGUCCAAGCAGCUUAGAACUCCAAAGGGCAAGGGCUGCCUUCCUGUUGCUCUGACAAUCCUCUGUGCCCCUCUGCUGUGCCCAGCACAAUGCAGCCGGCUGAUCCUAGCCCUGGAGAAAUCAGCUGCGCGUUAACUUCUGAGCUUCCCAAAAUCUACCAAGAAAAUCCCGUGCAGGAAGUUAGCGCGGAGGAAAGUGCCCCAGUAAAAUAACCCCGAAGAAAAGCCUUCAUCCUCGUGAUUUACGGUGCGUAUUUGAGUAGCACCCGAGCUGCUUCCACGCCUGUGGUCCUUUGGUACAGGACACGAGACAAACGAGUCCUGGCCUC